RNAcentral lists this ribosomal RNA (291 nucleotides) under uncultured bacterium. RNAcentral's name for it is "partial 16S ribosomal RNA". It matches the Rfam family "Bacterial small subunit ribosomal RNA", at positions 8 to 290 of the family's 1533-position model. The record is from RNAcentral.
AGAGUUUGAUCAUGGCUCAGGAUAAACGCUGGCGGCGCACAUAAGACAUGCAAGUCGAACGGACUUAACCAUUAGUUUACUAUUGGGGCGGUUAGUGGCGGACUGGUGAGUAACACGUAAGCAACCUGCCUGUUAGAGGGGAACAACAGUUAGAAAUGACUGCUAAUACCGCAUAUGCCUUAGUUAUCGCAUGAUAAUAGAGGGAAAGGAGCAAUCCGCUAACAGAUGGGCUUGCGUCUGAUUAGAUAGUUGGUGUGGUAACGGCAUACCAAGUCGACGAUCAGUAGCCGG